This is an RNA transcript of Cercocebus atys (sooty mangabey), 1224 nucleotides long. It is a transcript of the gene named brain expressed X-linked 2, with no coding region annotated. NCBI's taxonomy places the organism in Eukaryota, Metazoa, Chordata, Mammalia, Primates, Cercopithecidae. The record is from RefSeq and is a predicted model, not a curated record. The transcript has 4 exons.
GGGCAGAAAGGAGCUGGUACCCAGAGGAGAAAGAAGCCCGGGAAUAUAAGGACUUCGGUUCACGUCAGCUCCUGAUCACGCAGAAGGAGGUGAAUCCUGGGAGCCAAGGGCAGAGAGAGGCAAGUCCCCAGAGAAGUGGGAAUGGCCAACAGCUCCCUGAGAAGAUGCCUUCCGUCCUUCCUGGGCAGGUAAGGGAAGUCUCAAGAAUACACAAGAGAAGGGAGAGUGGCAGAGCCCAGGCUGGGGAUGUUAAAAGGGACUCACGGUGAGGAUGGGGGCGGGCCCGAAAGUCCCACCUGACUCCAGGCUGCAGGAGGGGGCGUGGGACGGGGGCGGAGCCGCUGGCGAUGACAACAGCCCCACGUGAUCGGCCAACACUGAGUCUUGCCUCGCUCUGGCAUCAGAGCCGCCGUCGCUCGCUCCUUUCUCGGCUGUGGUACCUGUUCCCGGUGGCCCUGAGGACGUGCGGGCCAGGUGCGGCCCCGAAAGCAGGAAGCGGAGGGGGAGCAGGUCUGCGAGGCUAAGUGUCGAGGCGACGCACCUCACGUCGAGAAUCGGGAGGAGGAGGAGACUGCAAGGAUAGGCCCAGGAGUAAUGGAGUCCAAAGAGGAACGAGCGUUAAACAGUCUCAACGUGGAAAAUGUCAACCAGGAAAAUGAUGAAAAAGAUGAAAAGGAGCAAGUUGCUAAUAAAGGGGAGCCCUUGGCCCUCCCUUUGAAUGUUGGUGAAUACUGUGUGCCUAGAGGAAAUCGUAGACGGUUCGGUGUUAGGCAGCCCACCCUGCAGUAUAGAUGGGACAUAAUGCAUAGGCUUGGAGAGCCACAGGCAAGGGUGAGAGAGGAGAAUAUGGAAAGGAUUGGGGAGGAGGUGAGACAGCUGAUGGAAAAGCUGAGGGAAAAACAGUUGAGUCAUAGUCUGCGGGCAGUCAGCACUGACCCCCCUCACCAUGACCAUCACGAUGAGUUUUGCCUUAUGCCCUGAAUCCUGAUGGUUUCCCUGAAGUUAAUAGGGAGACCCCAGCUUCCUAAACUUACACAUUUGUGGUGUACCUUUGUCGUAAACCUUUUGAUGUUACCUAUUUCUUGUGGGUCUCCUAUUACCAGCUUCAAACUGAAUGUUGUUUUGACCCAGUUUGUAAGUUUCUGUCAGCAGGGGAGUUUUACCUACUGCAUGGAAAGAUGCUCAUUAUAUAUUGUGAAGUUAAUAAAACAGUUUUAAAAACCA